UACCAGCACCCCGAGUGGUCGGGACGUUUUAUUGGGCCUAAAGCAUCCGUAGCCGGUUCUACAAGUCUUCCGUUAAAUCCAACUGCUUAACAGGUGGGCUGCGGAAGAUACUAUGGAGCUAGGAGGCGGGAGAGGCAAGCGGUACUCGAUGGGUAGGGGUAAAAUCCGUUGAUCCAUUGAAGACCACCAGUGGCGAAGGCGGCUUGCCAGAACGCGCUCGACGGUGAGGGAUGAAAGCUGGGGGAGCAAACCGG
RNAcentral lists this ribosomal RNA (254 nucleotides) under uncultured bacterium. RNAcentral's name for it is "partial 16S ribosomal RNA". It matches the Rfam family "Archaeal small subunit ribosomal RNA", at positions 474 to 727 of the family's 1478-position model. The record is from RNAcentral.